GAUGAAGAACGUAGCGAAAUGCGAUAAGUAAUGUGAAUUGCAGAAUUCAGUGAAUCAUCGAAUCUUUGAACGCACAUUGCGCCCGCCAGCACUCUGGCGGGCAUGCCUGUUCGAGCGUCAUUUCAACCAUCAAGCCCCCAGGGGCUUGUGCUGGGGCCCUGCGGCUGCCCGCAGGCCCUGAAAACCAGUGGCGGGCUCGCUGUCACACCGAGCGUAGUAGAUCUCAUCUCGCUCAGGGCGUGCUGCGGGUUCCGGCCGUCAAACCACCUUCAUAACCCAAGGUUGACCUCGGAUCAGGUAGGAAGACCCGCUGAACUUAAGCAUAUCAAUAAGCGGAGGA
This 340-nucleotide unclassified non-coding RNA is filed under the name soil metagenome. Its description in RNAcentral is "partial contains 5.8S ribosomal RNA, internal transcribed spacer 2, and large subunit ribosomal RNA". The stretch from base 1 to 120 matches the Rfam family "5.8S ribosomal RNA", at positions 35 to 154 of the family's 154-position model. The record is from RNAcentral.